UACGUAGGGUGCGAGCGUUAAUCGGAAUUACUGGGCGUAAAGCGUGCGCAGGCGGUUGUGCAAGACAGAUGUGAAAUCCCCGGGCUCAACCUGGGAACUGCAUUUGUGACUGCACGGCUGGAGUGCGGCAGAGGGGGAUGGAAUUCCGCGUGUAGCAGUGAAAUGCGUAGAUAUGCGGAGGAACACCGAUGGCGAAGGCAAUCCCCUGGGCCUGCACUGACGCUCAUGCACGAAAGCGUGGGGAGCAAUCAGG
Molecule: ribosomal RNA, 253 nt
Filed under: uncultured bacterium
Lineage: Bacteria
Description: partial 16S ribosomal RNA
Rfam family: Bacterial small subunit ribosomal RNA
Source: RNAcentral